Molecule: RNA transcript, 2782 nt
Organism: Cygnus atratus (black swan)
Lineage: Eukaryota; Metazoa; Chordata; Aves; Anseriformes; Anatidae
Gene: TUBGCP4
Gene name: tubulin gamma complex associated protein 4
Exons: 19
Source: RefSeq, a predicted model, not a curated record
UCUCCCGCGGGCCCUCCGGCGGUCGCGGCGCAGACGCGCCCUUCCCAGCAGCCCUUGUACCUCUCCCGGCAGGCUGCGCGGCGGCGCGCGGCAGGAUGAUCCACGAGCUGCUGCUAGCGCUGAGCGGCUACCCGGGGGCGGCCUUCACCUGGAGCAAGCGCGGCGGCCUGCAGGUGUCCCAGGAACUGCCCUUCUUGCACCCCAGCGAGACGAGCGUCCUCAACCGGCUCUGCCGUCUCGGCACCGACUACAUCCGCUUCGCCGAAUUCGUGGAGCAGUACACUGGGCACGUACAGCAGCAGGACCAUCAUGUAUCUCAGCAAAACCAGGGUGGAUUACAUGGGAUUUAUUUGCGAGCGUUCUGCACAGGUCUUGAUUCAGUAUUGCAGCCAUAUCGACAAGCACUACUUGACCUUGAACAAGAGUUUUUGGCUGACCCACAUCUUUCCAUCUCACAUGUUAAUUAUUCCUUGGACCAGUUUCAGUUACUCUUCCCAUCUGUAAUGGUCGUGGUGGAACAGAUCAAGACUCAGAAGAUUCAUGGAUGUCAGAUAUUGGAAACCGUCCACAAACAUAGCUGUGGGGGGUUGCCUCCUGUUCGCAGUGCUCUUGAAAAGAUUCUGGCUGUGUGUCAUGGAGUCAUGUAUAAGCAGCUAUCUGCCUGGAUGCUACAUGGAUUGCUACUAGACCAACAUGAAGAGUUCUUUAUCAAACAGGGCCCCUCUACUGGAAAUGUCCCUGGCCAACCUGAAGAUGAUGAUGAUGACCUAGGAAUUGGGGGACUUACAGGAAAACAGCUACGAGAGCUGCAGGACUUGCGCUUGAUUGAGGAGGAGAACAUGUUAGCUCCAUCUUUAAAACAGUUUUCUCUGCGAGUGGAAAUGCUGCCAUCAUACAUUCCUGUGCGGGUUGCUGAGAAAAUCUUGUUUGUAGGAGAAUCCGUACAGAUGUUUGAGAAUCAAAAUGUUAACCUGACCAGAAAAGGCUCCAUCCUAAAAAACCAGGAGGACACUUUUGCAGCAGAACUACACCGACUCAAGCAGCAACCACUCUUUAGUUUGGUGGACUUUGAAUCUGUGGUUGACUGGAUACGGAGCACUGUUGCUGAGCAUCUUUGGAAACUGAUGGUGGAGGAAUCUGAUUUACUAGGACAACUGAAGAUUAUAAAAGACUUUUAUCUUUUGGGAAGAGGUGAGCUGUUUCAGGCUUUCAUUGACACUGCACAGCACAUGUUAAAAACACCACCUACGGCUGUAACUGAACAUGAUGUCAAUGUUGCAUUUCAGCAGUCUGCUCAUAAGGUACUGUUAGAUGAUGACAACCUUCUCCCUCUGCUUCACUUGACCAUUGAGUAUCAUGGAAAGGAGCAUAAAGAUACUCCUCAGGCUCGUGAAGGGCCUACCCGGGAGUUAUCUCCACGUGAAGCCCCUGCAUCUGGCUGGGCAGCUCUGGGCCUUUCUUACAAAGUUCAGUGGCCACUGCACAUUCUCUUUACUCCUGCUGUUUUGGAGAAGUACAAUGUUGUGUUCAAAUAUCUGCUAAGUGUGCGACGGGUCCAGGCUGAGCUGCAACACUGCUGGGCUCUCCAGAUGCAACGCAAACACCUGAAAUCUAACAGAACUGAUGCCAUCAAGUGGCGUCUGAGGGACCACAUGGCUUUCCUUGUGGACAAUCUUCAGUAUUAUCUGCAGGUGGAUGUACUGGAAUCUCAGUUCUCACAGCUUCUCCAGCAGAUAAAUGCCACACGAGAUUUUGAGAGUAUUAGACUGGCUCAUGACCAUUUCUUAAGUAAUCUGUUGGCUCAGUCUUUCAUCCUCCUAAAGCCUGUUUUCCACUGCUUAAAUGAAAUUCUAGAUCUUUGUCAUAGUUUUUGUUCUCUGGUGAGUCAGAAUCUGGGCCCAUUAGAUGAGCGGGGAGCUGCACAACUCAGUAUUCUGGUGAAGGGAUUCAGUCGUCAGUCAUCGCUGCUCUUCAAGAUUCUCUCUAGUGUUCGAAACCACCAGAUAAACUCUGACCUAGCUCAGCUGCUACUACGCUUGGAUUAUAACAAAUACUACACCCAGGCUGGAGGAACCUUGGGCAGUUUUGGAGUUUGAACACCAAGACCUUUUCUUCAGACUGUGACCAACCGUAAGGCAAGCAGUGAUGCCUCUGGUGCUCUUGGAAUUUUUUCCUUGUAGUUGGUGCUUGCCUGAUGAACCACUGUUUAAGUGGCACUUCCUGCCAAUUCUGUACAAUUGCCUAUUGAGUGCAGAAAGCUUUUUCUUUUACGCUGAACUAGUAAAACCAUGCUUUCUGCAGCUCUGCAUCUACUUAUAAAUGCUUCUAGGGAGGCAGUCUGUGCUUCUUCUGAAAGCGGAGAAAAAACAAGAAUUAUGAUGUCAGAAUUGCAGUAUCUUAACUGGAGCUGGGCUAUGAUCCUUUGCAAGCUGGAAUAUGGAGGAAGUAGUCUGUUGUUCUCGACUAUGACUGAAGUUUUGGCUGUCUUCAGAACUUCCACUUGUGCAAUAAACUGACUUACAGGAGACAGUGUCUGCUAAUCAAAUACAUACUUCUCUGUAAAUGAAACAACUGCAAUAGCAAUUUGAGAAAUAAGGCUCUGGAUCACCCACUCCUGCGAGACAACAGGCAGACGUAAUGCUUCUGCACACUUCAAGACAACAGCUGGGCAGGAAAAGUCAGUCACCACCACAUCAUAAACACCCAAAGCAAUAUCUGCACAGGAGGAAAGAGGCAUCGGUCAGGUUAAAUAAAAGAAAAAGGAUCUUUCCUUUCAGCAGCA